UUUUAAUAGAAAUCAUUAUUAAUAAAAUCUGCUCAAUGAAAUUUUCAAUAGCCGCAAUAUUUGUGCUAAGGUAGCAUAAUCAUUUGUCUUUUAAUUAAAGACCAGAAUGAAAGAUUUAACUUUUAAAAUUUUUUAUUUAUUUUAUAUUAAAAUUAUUUUAAAUAUAAAAAAAUAUUUAUAAAAAUAAAAGACAAUAAGACCCUAUUGAAUUUAACUUAAGUUUAACUGGGGUAGUUAAUUAAAUAAAAUUUUAAUUUUAUUUAAUUAUUAAUUGAUCCGAUUUAUUCGAUUAUAUAAUUAAAUUACCAUAGGGAUAACAGCGUUAUAAAAUUUAAAAGCUCUUAUUUAAAAUUUUAAUUACGACCUCGAUGUUGAAUAAUUAAUCUAUUAAAUGCAAUAAUUUAAAAAGAAAGUCUGUUCGACUUUUAAAUAAUUACA
Molecule: ribosomal RNA, 438 nt
Filed under: Amphinecta sp. CG187
Lineage: Eukaryota; Metazoa; Arthropoda; Arachnida; Araneae; Amphinectidae
Description: partial 16S ribosomal RNA
Source: RNAcentral